This 81-nucleotide non-coding RNA is filed under the name uncultured Odoribacter sp. Lineage: Bacteria; Pseudomonadati; Bacteroidota; Bacteroidia; Bacteroidales; Odoribacteraceae. The record is from RNAcentral.
UUCGUGAGGGGUGCCUUAAAACAACGGGCUGAGAUCAUACCCUAUAACCUGAUCCGGGUAAUGCCGGCGUAGGUAGAAUGA